GACGUAGGGCGCGAGCGUUGUCCGGAUUUAUUGGGCGUAAAGAGCUCGUAGGCGGCUUGUCGCGUCGACUGUGAAAACUCGGGGCUCAACUCCGAGCUUGCAGUCGAUACGGGCAGGCUAGAGUUCGGUAGGGGAGACUGGAAUUCCUGGUGUAGCGGUGAAAUGCGUAGAUAUCGGAAAGAACACCAACGGCGAAAGCACUCUGCUGGGCCGACACUGACACUGAGAGACGAAAGCUAGGGGAGCGAAUGGG
RNAcentral lists this ribosomal RNA (253 nucleotides) under uncultured bacterium. RNAcentral describes it as "partial 16S ribosomal RNA". It matches the Rfam family "Bacterial small subunit ribosomal RNA", at positions 524 to 776 of the family's 1533-position model. The record is from RNAcentral.